This 433-nucleotide ribosomal RNA is filed under the name uncultured bacterium. RNAcentral's name for it is "partial 16S ribosomal RNA". It matches the Rfam family "Bacterial small subunit ribosomal RNA", at positions 29 to 507 of the family's 1533-position model. The record is from RNAcentral.
AACGAACGCUGGCGGCAGGCCUAACACAUGCAAGUCGAGCGGACCCUUCGGGGUUAGCGGCGGACGGGUGAGUAACGCGUGGGAAUAUGCCCUUCUCUACGGAAUAGUCCUGGGAAACUGGGGGUAAUACCGUAUACGCCCUUUGGGGGAAAGAUUUAUCGGGGAAGGAUUAGCCCGCGUUGGAUUAGGUAGUUGGUGGGGUAAUGGCCUACCAAGCCGACGAUCCAUAGCUGGUUUGAGAGGAUGAUCAGCCACACUGGGACUGAGACACGGCCCAGACUCCUACGGGAGGCAGCAGUGGGGAAUCUUAGACAAUGGGGGCAACCCUGAUCUGUCCAUGCCGCGUGAGUGAUGAAGGCCUUAGGGUUGUAAAGCUCUUUCAGCUGGGAAGAUAAUGACGGUACCAGCAGAAGAAGCCCCGGCUAACUCCGUG